RNAcentral lists this long non-coding RNA (827 nucleotides) under Homo sapiens (human). Its description in RNAcentral is "HSALNT0330590". The record is from RNAcentral. Lineage: Eukaryota; Metazoa; Chordata; Mammalia; Primates; Hominidae.
CAACUGUGCUCACCUUGCCUUUGAUGAUUAAGUGCUAGCACCUGGCCCUUGCCACCUCAGAAUACAGUUAUUUCCAUUACAUGUACCUUUUUCAGUUGAGUGACUGAGGUUCCCACUGUAAAGUCCAGCUUAAACAGAAGAGUAACUACGGAGCUCUUCAGGGAUGCUGGGGCUCCCCUAACAAAUCUGUUUCUCAAUGUGUUCAUGAGAGGUGUGUCUUCUGGAUUCUUCCAGUGUGGGCAAAGAACAUGGACUCACAGACACUGGAUGGCUUGCACAAUGUCUUGAAGCCCCAAAGACUAGGUUGAAAUGCACAUGCAUUUUCACAAUACCACGCUUCCUCAUCUCUGUAAAGCUUACAUUUUAAUCCUCAUACAAGCUUUUGAUUCUGGAGGCUGAGAAGUCCAUGAUCAAGGGGUUGGCAGGUUCAGUCUCUGGUUCCAAGAUGGUGUCUUGUUGCUGCAUCCUCCAGAGAGGAGUAACAUUUUGUCCUCACGUGGCAGAAUAGUGGAAGAGAGAGAACCCACCCCUGAAAUCCUGUUUUAUAGCUGUAUUAAUCCACUUACGAGUUCAGCACUUUCACGACCUAAACACUCGCCAAAGACGUCAUCUUCCAACACUGCUGCAGUGGGGAUCAUGUUUCUAACACAUGAUUUUGGAGAACAUAUUCAAACCAUUGCAGUGUUAUCAGCUUUUUCCUACUUCUUCACUGUAAUACUAGAGUUCACAUUUACUGAAAAGGGAACAUACAAACUGAAUUGAGUGUGUUUAGAGAUCUGAUAUAGAUUUUUUAAAUAUGAAUUUUGUUGAAAAACAGUCCUCAAUAA